GCUGGGUAUGGGGCGCAUGCCUGUAAUCCCAGUGACUUGGGAGGCUGAGGCAGGAGGACUGUAAAUUCAAAGCCAGCCUCAG
This 82-nucleotide small RNA is filed under the name Marmota monax (woodchuck). The record is from RNAcentral. Lineage: Eukaryota; Metazoa; Chordata; Mammalia; Rodentia; Sciuridae.